Long non-coding RNA from Cyanistes caeruleus (blue tit), 1111 nucleotides. The record is from Ensembl. NCBI's taxonomy places the organism in Eukaryota, Metazoa, Chordata, Aves, Passeriformes, Paridae.
CGGGAAAAACACCGGGAAUGACACCAGGAAAAAUACCGGGAAAAACACCGGGAAUACCGGGAAAAACACCGGGAAUGACACCAGGAAAAACACCGGGAAUGACACCGGGAACAGCGGGAAAAACACCGGGAACACCGGGAAUGACACCGGGAACACCAGGAAUACCGGGAAAAACAACGGGAAAAACACCGGGAAAGACCCUGAGAACACCAGGAAGAACAACGGGAAAGACACCGGGAAAAACAAUGGGGAAAACAAUGGGAAAAACACCGGGAACACCGGGAACAACGGGAAAAACACCGGGAACAGCCCCGGGAACAGCUGGAAAAACCCCGGGAACAGCGGGAAAAACCCCGGGAACAGCUGGAAAAACCCCGGGAACACCGAGCCAACAACAGCCGUCAACGGGAAGAAGCAGAAAGGCAGGAAAAGCUCCCCCAACCCCCAGCAAAACACCUGAAAACGCCGGAAUUCCACGGGAAAACAGCGGGAGAACUCCAGAACCGGGGGAAAAACCCCGGGAAAACCCCGGAAUGUUCCAGAAAAGGCCCAGAAUGUUCCGGAAAACCCCGGAAUGUUCUGGAAAACCCCGGAAUGUUCCAGAAAAACCCCGGAAUGUUCCGGAAAAGCCCCGGAAUGUUCCGGAAAAGGCCCAGAAUGUUCUGGAAAAGCCCCGGAAUGUUCUGGAAAAGCCCCAGAAAAGCCCCGGAAUGUUCCGGAAAAGGCCCAGAAUGUUCUGGAAAAGCCCCAGAAUGUUCUCGGAAAACCCCGUAAAAGCCCCGGAAUGUUCUGGAAAAACCCAGAAUGUUCUGGAAAAACCCAGAAUGUUCCGGAAAAACCCCGGAAUGUUCCGGAAUAGCCCCGGAAUGUUCCAGAAAAGGCCCGGAAUGUUCUGGAAAAGCCCCGGAAUGUUCCGGAAAAGCCCCGGAAUGUUCCGGAAAAGCCCCAGAAUGUUCCGGAAAAGCCCCAGAAAAACCCUAGAAAGCCCCAGAAUGUUCCGGAAAAGGCCCGGAACCCCCAAGGAAAAGCGCAGGGAAACGGAGCCGGAUUCAAGUUUUUAUUUUGGGGAGGGGUCCUGAGUAGAGCAAUAAAUAAAAAAACCCCUCCCCCA